Molecule: non-coding RNA, 45 nt
Filed under: Schistosoma mansoni
Lineage: Eukaryota; Metazoa; Platyhelminthes; Trematoda; Strigeidida; Schistosomatidae
Source: RNAcentral
ACCCAUCUGACGAGUCCCAAAUAGAACGAAACGCGCAUCCUGGAU